Mauremys reevesii (Reeves's turtle) is the source of this 431-nucleotide long non-coding RNA. RefSeq lists it as uncharacterized. Lineage: Eukaryota; Metazoa; Chordata; Testudines; Geoemydidae. The record is from RefSeq and is a predicted model, not a curated record. The transcript is spliced from 3 exons.
CAACUGCAGAGAGUGGAGACCCGGCAAAGCAAACAAAUGAAUACUGAAAAAGAUCCCCAAAGGAGAUGUAAGGAUCCGGAACUCUAAUGUCUGCCAGAAGCUUCAGCCACCUUCACAGGCUAGGGCUCACCGUCCAUUGUGGAGGUGAAGACCAGAUGAGAGCUGCUGGAUUGACCUUGAUGUGCCAUGUCCUUGUGUGGAUGAAGGACCUACAUCUCAGGGAUGGCCAGCAGCAGAUGUAACACAUGUCUCCAGGAAUGGGCUAAAUAACCUACCUUGAGAGGUAAGUAAAAUCGUGGCCACAAAUAGACAUCCCAGGAAUUGGUGGGGCUUGACCCAGGGUCCUUCAGCACAAGCCCCUCUCACUCACUGUCAACAAAUCCAGCUCCACUCACUAGACCACACCCCAUUCCAGAGCCCCAGAUCCCAGG